Zingiber officinale is the source of this 937-nucleotide long non-coding RNA. RefSeq lists it as uncharacterized. NCBI's taxonomy places the organism in Eukaryota, Viridiplantae, Streptophyta, Magnoliopsida, Zingiberales, Zingiberaceae. The transcript has 2 exons. The record is from RefSeq and is a predicted model, not a curated record.
UGUAAAAUUUUAAUAUUCACACGGAUCCGGUGGCAUGGGAUUUUGAGGUUUCCGCAACGCAAAAGCAGUUUUUGCGGCUCGAAAAUCCCAACAAUUUGGGGAGACUGAAUUGGAUAUGCACAACCGCUACCCCGAAUUAUUCAGUAAGCCAAAUUUCGAGGAUGAAAUGUUUAUAAGGGGGGAGAAUUGUAAUGUCCCGUAAGCGUAAUUAAAGAAUUUACAUAUGAAAUUUUCUAAUGUCAUCCGAAUGCUAAUUAUGGGAUUAACUUAUAAAUUUUUUUUAUGAAUUUUAGAAAUGUUUCAGAAUUUUAAAUGAACUUGUAUGGCAUACAUAAAAUGGAUAGAAUAGUUAAACAUGUGGAAAGCCAAAACUAACACCCAAUUAAUUAGGAGGUGAUUGCUCUAAUUAGCCGAAGGAUAGGAUUUAAUUGACCUAGGCUUAGGACUUAAAUAACCUAGGUAUAAAACUAUACCUGAUUCGCCGAAUCCAAUUUCUCCCUCACAAUUCCUCCUCUAAAUUGUCGACUCUCUCUUUGCCCUCACCACCGGCUCUCGAGACUCGGCCAGGUGCUACCCCAGGCAGACAGUUCCUUUGAGGGCAUUGCGAUCGGAAGAGGAAGCUCGCGACCUUCGCACCGGCGACACGAUGAUAUGCAAUGGGUGAGCGAGGGCUUCUGGCAGUGGAACGAAGAAAGGACAGGUGAGGGCGUCUACCAGGAUGUGACGGAAGGCAUGUGGACGGAGUAGGCGAGGAGGUGAGAUGGACACAUGGCACUGUCCGGAUAUUUAGGAGUGCAGUGCAUACUCUUUCCAUUGUGAGGUGUUCUUCAUUUGUUUAGGGAGAGAUUUGAGAAUUCAUUGUUCCUUUGUUUUGUUAAACUCUUGUUUGGGAUACUGUCAUUUACAUUGGGUAAGAUAGAUCAUUUUGAUGGAAUUA